Apis dorsata (giant honeybee) is the source of this 671-nucleotide long non-coding RNA. RefSeq lists it as uncharacterized. Lineage: Eukaryota; Metazoa; Arthropoda; Insecta; Hymenoptera; Apidae. The record is from RefSeq and is a predicted model, not a curated record. The transcript is spliced from 2 exons.
CUUCAUGAUUCACGCAGGUGAAAGGAAGCGAGCAGACUGUGCGCGCGGGACUGGGAACGACGAAGGCGAAACUAUACUCACCCGUCGAGGCAAAAAACGACUGAAACAUUGCCGGCUGUAGCAGCACCGUUUAUAAACGAACACAACACAUCCCCACCGUGUCCUCCGGUCCGGAAAACUCGAGAAUAAUAACAGAGGAUCACGUAGCGGCAAUCUUCGAAAUUGGUCGCGCCUCCGCACUCUUCGCCAAGCGGAAUUGCUAAGUGUUGCGAUUUCGUUGGAAAUGGAACGAAACGCAAAGUGGAAAGAAGCGAAAGGCAAGGCUUUGUGUAUUGGGCUGGAGACGGCUGAACGUCUUUAUUUGGACGGCAAGCGUGUAUACAUUGUUAAGACUUCUCUUGUAUGAGCCGAGUUUCCUCCAUGAUAUAGUUUUGCAACAGUUGUUCGUAAUCCGGCCAGGAUUCAUCGUGUUCCUCGAAGGCUCUUCGUAUUUGGCACUGAAGCGUCGAGCAUUCUUUAUCUGAGCUCGAUCGUGGUUUAUCCAUAUCGACUCCGUAUUGCUUCAUCGCGUCGUGCACAACCAAGGUUAAGCGAUUCAAUCUGUCCCACACUAUCGAGUUUGCUAAAAGUGUAAAAAUAAUUCUCUAAAAUAUGCACUUUCGCAAUUAGCA